RNAcentral lists this unclassified non-coding RNA (4532 nucleotides) under Haliotis rufescens (red abalone). RNAcentral's name for it is "t-box transcription factor TBX2-like, transcript variant X4". Lineage: Eukaryota; Metazoa; Mollusca; Gastropoda; Lepetellida; Haliotidae. The record is from RNAcentral.
GAACAAUGCCGAGCAUAAUGCAUGUGUAAUACCGGCGAUGGGCCACAGGCAAGAGUCGAUCACAUAACUCAGUACAUGUAGCCUUAGCCGUAGGUUUAGUAUCUCGCUCAUGAUUUUGCCGGACACAGCAAAGAACUCAAUCAUGGCGUACAAUCCCUUUCUAAUUCACAGACCCAUGGAUUACGCGAUGGGCUCUCUCCUCUCUCAGUCGCCUUUCCUCCCAACGAUGACGAUACAGCACCCCGGGCUAGCUGCGUCCCUGCUUCCAAAGCUCCAGCAUGGGCUUGGGCGUGGUCCAAUGACCCCCUCGGACAUGAUGUCGCACCACGACCCCUUCAGACCCCUACGUGGGAUGGAACCCCCCGACAUUGAGGUCAACGAUGACCCCAAAGUAGAGCUAGAAAGCAAAGAAUUGUGGGAGAGCUUCCACAAACUCGGCACGGAGAUGGUUAUAACAAAAUCUGGCAGACGAAUGUUCCCACCGUUCAAGGUGAAGGUCUCAGGGUUAGACAAAAAGGCAAAGUACAUAUUGCUAAUGGACACUGUUGCCGUCGACGACUGCCGCUACAAAUUCCACAACAGCAAAUGGAUGGUGGCCGGGAAAGCUGACCCCGAGAUGCCCAAGAGGAUGUACAUCCACCCCGACUCCCCCAGCACCGGGGAACAGUGGAUGCAGAAGGUCGUCUCCUUCCACAAGCUGAAGCUCACAAACAACAUUUCCGAUAAACACGGAUUUACAGGGCUGGACUACUUUCAAACGAUCCUAAACUCCAUGCACAAGUAUCAGCCACGGUUUCAUCUAGUCCGAGCCAACGACAUACUCAAACUCCCAUACAGCGCCUUUCGAACCUACGUGUUCAAGGAAACGGAGUUCAUAGCCGUAACAGCAUAUCAAAACGAAAAGAUAACACAGCUGAAGAUCGACCAUAAUCCGUUCGCUAAAGGCUUUCGAGACACAGGAGGAGGAAAAAGAGAGAAAAAUUUUUCUAUUUCUAGAAGACUACUCCUGGGAAGCUCACAAAGCACCUCCGGCGUACACAGCGAGCAGAAACCGGAAGUAAUUCACAAUGGCAGUGAUGACGAAGAAGCCGAAAACGAGGUUAUCGUUGUCGUGGAGACUGACGAUAUGGCAGCGCCCGUAAUAGCAACAGAAGGCCGUGUGUCACCGGAAAUGUUACCAGAGUCCAAAACUUCCGAGUCGGCAGACUUCAAGAAUUCCGUUUCCGUUGAUGUUCCACCGGACCCAAAGAUCGACAAAGAUCAUUCUGAAGUUCAAGGUGAAGUUCAAGGUGAAAGUCAAGUUGAAGAUCAGGGUCAUGAUAGUGAAACAUCAGCCGUUAAUGUCACCGAUGACAAGGCCAAAUGUACAGAUGACGAAGGCGAGGAAGAGAUUGAUGUCAGUGACGAUAGAGAUUCCGCUCAGUACCACAAUGUCUCACAUUCAGAGGAUGACGCUUCGUCCAACAACGACCAUUUACGCACGGAACCUGUGACGGACGACGAAGGUCGAGAUGAAGCCAAGGACGAACUAAGUUCAAGGCCGGAUUACCGAACAUCUGACACUGAAAAGCGUUCAGAUGGUGAGAGAUCAGACUCGGACAGUGAACAUGUGAAAGAAAUGGUUGUUGAACGUGAGAAGUCCUUCUUCAAAGAGCACACUAGUCCCCCGAACGUGACAGUGAUUCAGCCAUCUGUGUCUCACCCAAUGUUCCCUUAUCUCUGCCCAUCGGGUUACCCCUCAUCCACAUCGGGCCUGCAUUACCCAAUCAACCCUGUGCUAUUCAACACAUCAUCCUUAUCCCACGGGUCUCUUCCGGUAUCCCUUCUCCAUCACUCGGGUCACAACAUGUCCCCAAUUCCAACCUCCCAUCUCCAUGGCCCGGGGAUUGGGUCGUCUAACCACUUGGGGGGUUCUCACGGCCUCCUCCAGAACUCCAACCUCCUCCCCCAAGGAUACCCCUCCCUGGGCCUUCCCGGGACGUCGCUGUCCCACCUCGCAGGAUCUCACCACCUCAGUUCUCUUUUCGCUUCUCGAAGCGCGGGCCACAGAUUCAACCCCUACGCAAUACCCCUGACAAAGACCACCAUGGCCUCUGCAGGGUCCCCCAUCACCUCACCUUGUGCUCCCCUGGGGGGUGGGGAACCAUCUUCUCGGGGCAUCACCCAUUCAGUAUCAUCAAUGUGUCAAAGUCCACCCUCAAGGAAAAGUCCACUCCAAAGCAUAGCAGUGACUCACGCCAAUCCUCACAGUGAACUGAAAAGCAUAGAAAAAAUGCUGAAUGGUCUUGAUAGAAGGCAGGCACAUCGCGAAUCGGACCUCCGGCUAGACAAAUAGCGCAGCCUGCUCAGUACUUGUGACUUUUAUUGACGGGUAUGCCAAUGUAGAGAAACAGGAAUUGUGAACAGUUUAUCUACAAAUGAGAUUGACCUUCUCAAAUUCGAAAUGGCCAAAAUAUGUAUAUGUGCACGUGAACUGAUGACGUCAUCAUUAUAUGUGAAGUGAAAUUGACACUGCCAUGUGUAGUAUUGUGCUGAAUGUCGACAUUCAAAUUUGUCGAAAUGACGUCAUGUGGUUGUUGCUAUGACACGGACGACACAUAGUUUAAACUCUGUUCUUUUUUCUUCAAUCUAAAAUUUGACAUGAAAAUCGUUUUUGCUGUUGUAGAACAAUUUGUGAUUGGGCAAAUGUGCAAAAGACAAAUCUGUGAUGCUUGCGACUUGGUCAUGACGGAAAUGACCGGACACUGACGGAAUUGGCCGAGUUUAUUCGACAGGUCGCUAAUAAAUGUUUUGAUCUCUGUGGCCGAAAGUAGAUUAGUUUAGAAGCAAACUACUGUUUCCAACAGCGGCAACUGAAUCUGUUCUGUUGACAUAUUGUCAAAAACAGACUUUGCCAUAGUGUUAGUUAGAACCUUUGGCGUAUUUUUUUCAAAUAUAGUGCUGUGUAAUUAUGGUAACAUUGGCACAAAGAGGGGAUCAUUAAAAUGAAAGCAGGGCUUCUAUAAUCGCUCCAUUAAAUGUUCCGAUCAACUUUUAGCCUUUUUUAAAAGGAAUUAUUGAGUACACGUUGGGUUCAUCCUGUCUGUAACGCUAUUAGCUAUAAUUAGUCAGUAACACUGCCAGAACAAAUGCCCAAUGACAGAAAUAAUCCCCUGUGUCUUCCUCAAAGACCAAGUAAGGCUUGUUAUCCUUCCAAUAUUUUCCAGUGUUAUCAAUGUUCCAGUUUGGCAAUUGUUCUGGAAAUUAUAUGACUUUAUUUUUAUUCAAAGUGCCCGUUUACGAAUAUUCAUUGUGAUCUGAUUUUGUAUUUCCAAAUUUAGAACUGGGAAAACAUUAGGGAUAACUGCAUUUAUUAUUUUGAAUAGUUCAGUGUUUUCUCGUACUCUCAGUGUUCUCCAGAUGUCCAAACGUGUCAAUAUAACGUCAUUACACUAUCCAUAAAUUGACACUCAGUAUUUGGUUUGAUAAAAUCCAUAUUCGAUAUAGUACUCGAUGAAUCCUAUACCGCCAACUGGGCGGAAUGUGUAUGUAUGAAAGGCUACUAUUUAUUUGAUAUGUUAUGUAUGGAUAAAGUGACUAUCUCUCGUAUCUACGGGAGUCGUGUCAUCAGUUCUCAUCAGUUGACCACUGGACCGAGUCAGUUAAACGCACGUUCUGUCGCAUAGAAUGUUAGACCCAUAGAACCAGACGUUGCAGCGAUGGAAAUAAAUUAUAGGCAUAACCAAGCAUUACAGUCGAUUGGAAUCAGUACAUGUCAUUUAGUAUAUUCUUGAUAUUGCUGUUUCCGUGAUUCAGGUAUAUGCUUCUUUAAGUGUAUGCUCCAUUGAGGUAUAUGCUUCUUUAAGUGUAUGCUCCAUUGAGGUAUAUGCUUCUUUAAGUGUAUGCUCCAUUUAGGUAUACGCUUCUUUAAGUGUAUGCUCCAUUUAGGUAUAUGCUUCAUUUAAGUGUAUGCUCCAUUCAGGUAUAUGCUUCAUUAGGUGUAUGGCUAUACCAAUGGAUCGAUCCUGCAGUUAUAAAAUGUUACUAGUAUUUAUUCCGAGGGACAUAUUUAACAAUUAUGGACAAACGGACCUAAAAAUGCACAUAUUAUCAGACAUUAUAUAAGUGGUCAACAAUGAUAUUUAUGACACGACCCCCAAGGCGGAUAAUGUUUUCCAAGAUCUCCAAUAUCUAUGAUCCCGUAGUUAUCAAAGCGACUCCUUCUUAAGUAUGGCAACACCCUAAAAUACAACGUCUUUUCAGAUUAUCCUGAAUGUUUAAUGAAGAUGAGUAAAUGGUAUUAGAUUUUUUAUGAACUGGCCGCCAAGGCAAACCAGCUGAACAUUGUUAAUUAACUAAGGGCUCUAUUAACUAAUUUGAAAAAUAUUUACAAAGAGGUGUGUGCUAUCCUUAAGAAAUUAAGGACGAGGUUAACCUGCCAAAGGGAUCCGCAAAAUGAACUCUAUGUUGUAGUUCGACUGCAGAAUGUGUGUAAAUACCGUAAUGAAUGUAAAGUACAUCUUGAUUAAAGUCAAACGAACUGAGUAACCAAA